This 423-nucleotide ribosomal RNA is filed under the name uncultured bacterium. Its description in RNAcentral is "bacterial SSU rRNA". It matches the Rfam family "Bacterial small subunit ribosomal RNA", at positions 355 to 794 of the family's 1533-position model. The record is from RNAcentral.
UGGGGAAUAUUGGGCAAUGGGGGAAACCCUGACCCAGCAACGCCGCGUGAGUGAAGAAGGUUUUCGGAUUGUAAAACUCUGCCCUUGGGGACGAAGAAUGACGGUACCCAAGGAGGAAGCCCCGGCUAACUACGUGCCAGCAGCCGCGGUAAUACGUAGGGGGCGAGCGUUGUCCGGAAUUACUGGGCGUAAAGGGCGCGUAGGCGGCAGAUUAAGUCUUGUGUGAAAACCCCAUUUUCAAGGUGGGAGGUGCACAGGAAACUGGUUUGCUUGAGUGCAGGAGAGGGAAGCGGAAUUCCAAGUGUAGCGGUGAAAUGCGUAGAGAUUUGGAGGAACAUCAGUGGCGAAGGCGGCUUUCUGGACUGUAACUGACGCUGAGGCGCGAGAGCGUGGGGAGCAAACAGGAUUAGAUACCCUGGUAGU